UCAAACUUGGUCAUUUAGAGGAAGUAAAAGUCGUAACAAGGUCUCCGUAGGUGAACCUGCGGAGGGAUCAUUACUGAGAAAUUGGGCCUUGUAGUCUUCGGGCUACGAGGUUCUUCCUUCCUAACCCAAUGUCUACUUUACCAUUGUUGCUUCGGCGGACGUAUCUCAAAUGAUACCGUCGAGGUUUUAAUCUAAAAACCUCUUUCGAGAUUCGCCGAGGGAUUUUUCUAAAAAACUCUUGAAAAUCAGUUUGAAAAACCUGAAUAUGGAUUUUAAUAUCAUAAAAAACUUUCAACAACGGAUCUCUUGGUUCUGGCAUCGAUGAAGAACGCAGC
This 335-nucleotide unclassified non-coding RNA is filed under the name uncultured fungus. Its description in RNAcentral is "partial contains small subunit ribosomal RNA, internal transcribed spacer 1, and 5.8S ribosomal RNA". The stretch from base 1 to 73 matches the Rfam family "Eukaryotic small subunit ribosomal RNA", at positions 1759 to 1831 of the family's 1831-position model. The record is from RNAcentral. Lineage: Eukaryota; Fungi.